CGAGAGGUACCGAAGUGGUCAUAACGGGGCGGUCUUGAAAACCGUUAGAGUGAAAGCUCACGUGGGUUCGAAUCCCACCCUCUCGGCCA
This 89-nucleotide transfer RNA is filed under the name Alkalibacter mobilis. RNAcentral's name for it is "tRNA-Ser". It matches the Rfam family "tRNA". Rfam says of the family: Transfer RNA (tRNA) molecules are approximately 80 nucleotides in length. RNAcentral also lists the same sequence under 1 other name. Lineage: Bacteria; Bacillati; Bacillota; Clostridia; Eubacteriales; Eubacteriaceae. The record is from RNAcentral.